Molecule: ribosomal RNA, 775 nt
Filed under: uncultured Neocallimastigales
Lineage: Eukaryota; Fungi; Neocallimastigomycota; Neocallimastigomycetes; Neocallimastigales
Description: partial large subunit ribosomal RNA
Rfam family: Eukaryotic large subunit ribosomal RNA
Source: RNAcentral
AGAGAGAGACAUGCGCGCAUAUCAAUAAGCGGAGGAAAAGAAACUAACAAGGAUUCCCUUAGUAACGGCGAGUGAAGCGGGAAGAGCUCAAAUUUGAAAUCUUCAAGGUUUUACCUUGACGAAUUGUAGUUUAAAGAAGUGUUUUCUGCUGAAGUUUUGGUAAAAGUUCUUUGGAAUAGGACAUCAUAGAGGGUGAGAAUCCCGUAUUUGACCAUUAUUUUCAGCUUUGUGAUACACUUUCAAAGAGUCGGAUUGUUUGGGAAUGCAGUCCAAAAUGGGUGGUAAAUUUCAUCUAAAGCUAAAUAUUGGCGAGAGACCGAUAGCGAACAAGUACCGUGAGGGAAAGAUGAAAAGAACUUUGAAAAGAGAGUUAAACAGUACGUGAAAUUGUCAAAAGGGAAGCGUUUGACACCAGUGCUGUUUUCUCGAAAAUCAAUUAAAAAUGGCUCGAUUUUGUAUUGCUGAGACCUUAAAAGCUCAUCUGUACAUUUUUCGUGUCUUUUUUAAUGCACUUUUCGUUUAACAAGUCAACAUCAGUUUCUUUUGUUGUAAAAGGGUCAUUGGAAGGUGGCUUUCUUUUCGGAGAAAGUGUUUAUAGCCUUUGGCCUCUGCAAUCGGAGAGACUGAGGUCUGCAGCGUAGACUCUUCGGGGUUAGAUACAUUUGUGCUAAGUUAUAGCUUUUUAUAGACAACUUGUUGACUAUAAUUAGUCUUGUAGCUUACUCGCUUAUGCUAUUUUACCUACGCUUAGGAUGUUGAAGAUGUAGCACAUCAU